UCUUAGAUUGUUGCCGCCGCUUCGUUUUUUCUUGGGAAGCCAGGGGGGAAGGGGGGCCCGCAAGCCUACUGCCCCCCUGUCACGGGCACAGAUCUAUCUAGGUAACUCCGUGACAUCUGCUCAGCGUUAUCAAGAAGAAAUCGUGACGUAAAGAGUUGAUUUUGCCUGGCUACCAAGAAUCAUAGAAUCGUAGAAUCACAGAAUCAUAGAAUGGCCUGGGUUGAAAAGGACCACAAUGAUCAUCUAGUUUCAACCCCCCUGCUAUGUACCGGGUUGCCAACCACUAGAUCAGGCUGCCCAGAGCAACAUCCAGCCUGGCCUUGAAUGCCUCCAGGUAUGGGGCAUCCACAACCUCCUUGGACAACCUGUUCAAGUACAUCACCACAUUGUUCAACCAGUCAGAGAAUGUGAUAAUUUGGAAGGAGAAUACUCACCUCGAUGGCACUGAAAUAUCAAGCAAAGGGAUACAGAACUUUACCUCAUAUCUGAGAGAAUCCAGCAACUGUUCACAGAGAUGAUGAAGGAACUGGAACAUCUCUACUAUAUCUCUCUUCCAAGAGAGCUCAGAUUCUUCAGCCUAGAGAAGAAGAGAUACAGGGGAAUUCAUCAGUGUCUGUAUAGAAGAAAAAAAGGAAUUGUCUAUACAAACUCUGUUGCAUUCCACAAACUGAAAUUCAGAAAGAAUGUUUUGAGGAUAAGUUGUGCUGCUAAAUCCUACAUCUUCAACUCAAAGAGACAUGAAAACAAAAAAAAUAUGUAAGUGUAAACAAAACUGAAUCAAAUCAUCCAAUAAGCAAUAAAAAUCUUAAUAAGUAGAAAAUUUGCAAACAGAGUAUAAUAGAAGUGUCUCGUGUUAACACAAAGUAAUGCAAAUAUUGUAUGGACUUUUCUUUAGUUUUCAGCUUAACAAUUUUGUUGCUUUUUAUUUUGAACAUUUAUUACAUUCUGCCAUGUUGUUUCCAUAAUCUUUUCUUUUUUUUUCUUUGUUUUUCUUAAAUUGCUAGUUGACAUUUAAUAGAUACAUUUUGCUAAUUUGUGGAAGAAAAGAUCUUCAGGGGCUGUUAAGCAUGGAGGCUACCAGGACACAUUUGUAAAGGAACUCAAUCUAGCAGAUGAACAAGAAAUACAGAAUGGCUCAUAAUCACAUGGCUCAGGGCUAGACAUCUCUUGAGUGGACAUAUCUAUACUGACUGUUUCCAGUCUCAGGUCUUUUUAAACAUCCAGUCAGUGCACCACACUGGCUUUAGGACAUCUCCAGAAUAACUAUCAGUGUUUAGACAAUAUUGUUUUACCCUUCCCCAUCCCCCUGGAUUCAAGUGGCAGAAACAAGGUUUGUGUGAGGGCUGUGUUGUCUGUAUACAGCCAUGUUGGGAGUAUGGGCUGGGGACAUGGCAUGACUUUGCAUGAGGACAGGGCAGUGGCUGGGACAGUGAGAUAGGAUUCUAGAGGGAGGAAAAUCUGGUACUAUUUUGUCUACAAUGACUGUUGCGGUUUAAACUGGCAGGAAGCUAAGCACUACAUAGCCUUACAUUCACUCCUCCAACUCCCAGUGAGAUGGGGGAGAGAAUUAGAAAAAAAAAAAGAAAGAACUAGAAUUUGCAAGUUGAGAUAAAAACCAUUUACUAAGACAGAAGAGGAAGAGUAAAAUAAUACAAAUGACAGUCUUAUAUACAUAUAUAUUUACAAAACAGGUGAUGCACAAAGCAGCUGCACAUCACCUGCUGAUCAGUGUCCAGCCAGUCUCUGGGCAAUGCCUGCCUCCCUGUUAAACUGUGUUCAGUUUUAUAAUUUUUUUUGCAUGAUGUCAUAUGAUAUGUAAAAUCCCUUUGGCCAGUCAGGAUCAUCUGUCCUAGUUCUGUUCCGUCCCAGCAACUUGUGCCACCUCACUGACCUCACUGGCAGGGCAGUACAAGAGGUAAUAUGAAUCUAUUUAAAUGGAUCAAAUCAUUGGAGAGAAUUGUGAAAAAGAAAGAAAGAAAGAAAGAAAGAAAGAAAGAAAGAAAGAAAGAAAGAAAGAAAGAAAGAAAGAAAGAAAGAAAGAAAGAAAGAAAGAAAGAAAGAAAGAAAGAAAGAAAGAAAGAAAGAAAGAAAGAAAGAAAGAAAGAAAGAUACUUGUAGGGUAACUUGCAUAGCUACUCUAUAUCUCAGAAACAUUUCGGGGCUUAGAUAUCGCCUACAUCAAAUUACAUACACUUGAAAGUAAUGAUGCCAUUGAUCUUUCCUUUCUUCUUGCCUAUGCAGGAUAUUUGCUAGAAGUAUUACAUUUUUUUUAAAUAGAUCGAUUAGUUGCUGUUUGCAAGAGGCAGUCCUUGACCACUAUGCAGUACUUUUAACUUUUUAAUUGUAUGUGUGCAAUUAAAUCUAUAGCAUUCCUCCAUAAUUCACAAUAUUAUAUAAUAUAUAAUAGUAUAUAAUAAUAUAAUAAUAUUAUGAGCUUUUGGCUUAGUUGUAGCUGUAUUUGUUUUGCACUGAAUAAAG
Gallus gallus (chicken) is the source of this 2478-nucleotide long non-coding RNA. RefSeq lists it as uncharacterized. The record is from RefSeq and is a predicted model, not a curated record. NCBI's taxonomy places the organism in Eukaryota, Metazoa, Chordata, Aves, Galliformes, Phasianidae. The transcript has 4 exons.